Molecule: long non-coding RNA, 614 nt
Organism: Oncorhynchus keta (chum salmon)
Lineage: Eukaryota; Metazoa; Chordata; Actinopteri; Salmoniformes; Salmonidae
Exons: 3
Source: RefSeq, a predicted model, not a curated record
CUUGAAUGUGGUGUGUCCACACUUGUGACUGGUACUGUAUGUGAGAGAGAGAGGGUGUUUGGGGACUGUGGGAUUCUUUCAUCAGUUUGUCUCGUUAGACAGGUCAGAGUGUGUUUGGGGACUGUGGGAUUCUUUCAUCAGUUUGUCUCGUUAGACAGGUCAGAGUGUGUUUGGGGACUGUGGGAUUCUUUCAUCAGUUUGUCUCGUUAGACAGGUCAGAGUGUGUUUGGGGACUGUGGGAUUCUUUCAUCAGUUUGUCUCGUUAGACAGGUCAGAGUGUGUUUGGGGACUGUGGGAUUCUUUCAUCAGUUUGUCUCGUUAGACAGGUCAGAGUGUGUUUGGGGACUGUGGGAUUCUUUCAUCAGUUUGUCUCGUUAGACAGGUCAGAGUGUGUUUGGGGACUGUGGGAUUCUUUCAUCAGUUUGUCUCGUUAGACAGGUCAGAGUGUGUUUGGGGACUGUGGGAUUCUUUCAUCAGUUUGUCUCGUUAGACAGGUCAGAGUGUGUUUGGGGACUGUGGGAUUCUUUCAUCAGUUUGUCUCGUUAGACAGGUCAGAGUGUGUUUGGGGACUGUGGGAUUCUUUCAUCAGUUUGUCUCGUUAGACAGGUCAGAGU